GAUGAACGCUGGCGGCGUGCCUAAUACAUGCAAGUCGAGCGAACAGAUAAGGAGCUUGCUCCUUUGACGUUAGCGGCGGACGGGUGAGUAACACGUGGGUAACCUACCUAUAAGACUGGAAUAACUCCGGGAAACCGGAGCUAAUGCCGGAUAACAUGUUGAACCGCAUGGUUCUACAGUGAAAGACGGCUUUGCUGUCACUUAUAGAUGGAUCCGCGCCGUAUUAGCUAGUUGGUGAGGUAACGGCUCACCAAGGCAACGAUACGUAGCCGACCUGAGAGGGUGAUCGGCCACACUGGAACUGAGACACGGUCCAGACUCCUACGGGAGGCAGCAGUAGGGAAUCUUCCGCAAUGGGCGAAAGCCUGACGGAGCAACGCCGCGUGAGUGAUGAAGGUCUUCGGAUCGUAAAACUCUGUUAUUAGGGAAGAACAAAUGCGUAAGUAACUGUGCGCGUCUUGACGGUACCUAAUCAGAAAGCCACGGCUAACUACGUG
RNAcentral lists this ribosomal RNA (497 nucleotides) under uncultured bacterium. RNAcentral describes it as "partial 16S ribosomal RNA". It matches the Rfam family "Bacterial small subunit ribosomal RNA", at positions 28 to 507 of the family's 1533-position model. The record is from RNAcentral.